AGUCUGUUUUUAAAAUUUUAGAGUAUCUGUAAAUAGUAAAAGUGAUACUUUUCUGAGAAGAAUGUUUAUUGAUAUUUAAGUAUGAAGAAAAUUUCAUUGAUUCAAUUAAGACUCGAAUUGGACCAAGGUUACCCUAUAUUGAGUUCGCUUACUUAUAACGCAGAAUCCUACUUAAAAUAUAGUGAAGAUCAGACAACAUCAAUUUUAACUCAUCAUCAAGAGAGUUACAAAGAGAUUCCUGAAAUACACCACGGAAAAAGAACUUUUUUACAGUACACAAUUGAAACUUAUGAUUUAGAUAUGGAAACUAAUAAGAAUGAUUCAACUAUGGAACAUCAAAAAGAGUCUGAUGAUGCAGAUAAAUGUCCUGUUCCUCAUACUGUUCAUUAUUUUUCUGGAAACCCGAAUGUUGAAGUCACUAGAGGAAUUAUGCACUUAUAUAAAGACAAUUGUUUAUCAACGUUAGGUAAUAUUGAUAUUCCAAGAAGUGAUACAAUAUGCAUGUUAGGUGUGCCAGCAAAGUACAGUUGUCAAGAUUUGCAAAACUUUAUUGCUCCCACAGGUGAAACUGUUAGACACAUACAAAUUAUUCGGGACGGCAAUGCAAAUCAAUACAUGGUACUUAUACGGUUUAAAGACCAGGAAAGUUCUGAUGCAUUUUAUCGUGAAUAUGAAGGAAAAGCAUAUAAUAUGCUUGAAGACGAGUGUACCCACCUAAUGUUUGUCUCAAAAGUGGAGUCUGUUGCAACAACAGGGAGUGGUUAUUUACCUGUACCUGGAUUAACUGAGCUUCCUAUUUGUCCUGUAUGUUUGGAACGUAUGGACGAAUCCGUUGAAGGUAUAUUAACCAUUUUAUGUAAUCAUUCCUUUCAUAAUAACUGCUUGAUGAAGUGGCAAGACUCAUGCUGUCCUGUGUGCAGAUAUGUUUUAACUCCAGAAGUGUCUGUUGAUCAAAAAUGUUUUGAAUGUGAUUCAAAUGAGAGUCUUUGGAUUUGUCUUGUUUGUGGACACAUCGGUUGUGGUCGAUACCAGGACUUACAUGCUUAUCAACACUAUCAACAAACAGCACAUACCUAUAGCAUGGAUCUUGGUAACAAAAGGGUCUGGGACUAUGCAGGAGAUAAUUAUGUCCAUAGACUGGUUCAAAAUAAAGGAGAUGGAAAAUUGGUUUCUCUUGAUAAUAGAGAGCAGGUUGAAGGUGAAAAAAUGGAUUCUUUGACUAUUGAGUACACAUACCUGUUAACCAAUCAGUUAGAGUCACAGAGACGUUAUUUUGAAGAGAAGAUUGAUUUUUUAGAGAAAGAUGCUUAUGAAAAGUUGUCUUUAAUGGAGUUAGAGGUUCAUAAUUCUCGCAAAGAGUAUCAUACUCUUGAGCAAAUGUUCGCUAUAAAUGAAAAAGAUAAGAAAAUGUUAGAAAAAAAGUAUGAAAAUGUUGUUGGUAAAUUGGCUAAUAUGUGUAAAGAACUACGUGAUGAAAAGCAGCUGAAUAUAUGUUUGCGUGAGAAUCAGGCUGUGUGGCAAAAAAAAGUUGAGUUGCUUGAAAAUGAAUUGAAAAAAUGUUCUACUGAAAAAAGUGCUGAAAUUUAUGAACUUCAAAACCAAGUUGCUGAUUUAAUUAAACAUUUGGAAGUCCAGUCUGCAGUGAGAAAUGCUAAUGAAGAUGUUAGGGAGGAUAUCCAAGCAGGUCAACUAUUUACAGAAGCCUGUUCUUCAUCUGGAAACGCAAGCAGAAAUACUAAGAAAAAAUCAAAAGCUCGAAAAAAAUAAUCAUAAAUGCUGACAAUAAAGGUUUUUAUGUCAAACUGAAUUUAGUUACAAAUGAUGUUUGCUUUAUAUACCAAUCAUCUUUGAACCUGUGAAAAUUAUUGAAAAAGAUUCUUUUGUCUGGUGUUCUAUUUUCAGAAAAAAAUAUUUAAAAAUCAGCAAAAAGAUUGUUUUUUAUCUGUCAGCCCUAGUACACAUUUUUGGCUUGUUUUUUUUUCUAUAAUGGCUUUCUUCCAUCAGAAGUUUCUGACAAUCAUUUAUGCAAUAUAUCAAAGUUUGUUUCACUUUUAAAAUUGAAAGCUAAAUACUCACAUGAUUUUUGUUGUUAUUGAUGCUUUGCGAGGUGAUUUUGUGUUAAAUAAAAAUGGUUGGUCUAAGAAUAUGAAUUUCACACUUGGCAAGAUAGCUUGUGAUGAGAAAUAUAGGUUGACACUAAUGUUACAAGACACGCUAAUGUUACAAGAGAGCUGAAACAAGAAGAUUGGAAUCUUAUGGUUUUUUUAUUAUCUUGGGCUUGAUCAUAUCGGACAUUUCGCUAUCUAUAUAGUUCAUUAUUCCCUGAAAAAAAUCAAAGAAAAGGAUAAUUGAUAAUGAGUUGAUCAUAUCAAACAUUUUGCUGGUCCUUAUAGUUCAUUAAUCCCUGAAAAACUAAAAAAAAAGAUAAUUGAAAGUUUAUAUAUUAGUCUUGUUUAACGUGACAAUAAACUUGGUAGUCAGAGUGUUUUAGUUGUAUGUGGAGAUCAUGGAAUGAGUGAAACUAGUAGUCAUGGUGGUGCUUCAUAUUUUGAAGUAAUGACCCCAUUUUUGCUUUUAGAUACAAAAGGAAAAGAACGACGGCUUCAACUCCAACAUCGAUUCAUCGCUAAUCGCUACUUUUCAUUCACUUGCUCCAUUCACUUACUAUAAUUGCAAAAACUUGAAUAAGUGGCAAAUAAUCUGCAUCUUUUUCAGCUUAUCAAAGUUUACAUUCUUCAGUCAAGGUAAUUCAAUUAAUUUUUCUACAAUUGAUAUAUCAUCUCAUAUGAUUGGUAUGUAUUAUAAUCAACCUAUUAUUGCAAAUGUACUAACAACUUGUUCAACUUAUUAUGGACAGUUAUUUUUGGUUGGUAAGCCUUGUUGAUUUUACUAAAAUGAGGUUAGUUUAUGGUUUAAAAAGUAUUCAUAAAUAUAUUUUUAUAUUAAAGUCAAUCAAGUCAAUGAGAAUAUAAAUGGUGCAACUCAAUUUUUACUCAAUUUUUUU
Hydra vulgaris (swiftwater hydra) is the source of this 3004-nucleotide non-coding RNA. The record is from RefSeq and is a predicted model, not a curated record. Lineage: Eukaryota; Metazoa; Cnidaria; Hydrozoa; Anthoathecata; Hydridae.